CCCGGUUUGAUCUGCCCAGUGACUCCGUUCAACGGCCGCAGUAUUUUAACUGUGCUAAGGUAGCGUAAUCAUUUGCUUUUUAAUUGAGAGCUCGUAUGAACGAUUCAACGAGAAGUUAACUCUCUUAAAAGUCCAAAUAACUUACUCGGAAGGUAAAAAAGCCUUCUUCUCCCAACAGGACGACAAGACCCUACAAAACUUUACUCGACCCCGUAUUUUCCCUUUAAACGACUACCGAGUUUUGCUGGGGCGGCAAGUCUUAAUAAAAACAAUACUUCCCCUAACACCUUGAGUGAUAUCUACUAACCCUACUUCGUGAUAUAACUAAGUUACUUUAGGGAUAACAGCGUAAUGCUCCUUUAGAGCCCUUAUCGACAGGAGCGAUUACGACCUCGAUGUUGAAUUGAAGCACCUUCCUGGAGCAGCCUCCAAUUAAGGGAGUCUGUUCGACU
RNAcentral lists this ribosomal RNA (452 nucleotides) under Thermosphaeroma milleri. RNAcentral describes it as "partial 16S ribosomal RNA". It matches the Rfam family "Bacterial large subunit ribosomal RNA", at positions 1848 to 2586 of the family's 2925-position model. The record is from RNAcentral. Lineage: Eukaryota; Metazoa; Arthropoda; Malacostraca; Isopoda; Sphaeromatidae.